ACCAGCAUGCUGGAGAAGAGCAAAGGUGUCUGCCUUCAGAUUCCUCACUACGGAAUUCCUGCAUGCUGACAGACUCUCCUGGGCCGCUACCUGAGUCCUGCUGCUUCCUCCCGGAUUGGCUCUGGUUGGACCAACAUUUGAAUCAUUGUUUCUUAAUCUCACACCAGGUAUACACAUAUUAAAAGAACCUCAUCUCCCUCCUAUAAAUUGGAGCGAGAUAGUCUCCAAUCCAUGGGAAUGCUCCAGCAUUUAAGCAAUUAUUUUAUGAAAUGGUAGAAUACUCUGUCAUUUCGAAAUUCUAGAAAACUCUGGAAUGCCACAAGGAAGUCAAAUAACCAGAUUGUUGUAUCCAUAGCAAUCACACUUUUAUUACAAUUACUCAGAAUCUACAGUGGGUCUCUUAAUGUCCGUGCAUGAGGUGCACUACCACCACCACAUGAUUGCUUGGAGCACCACAGGCAAAAAACAGCCCUAAUGUUAAGACCCUGAGGAUGACAAGUAUUCCUUCCUCUUCCUGAAGGAACAUUCCUGGCUUCUCGCCUUCCAUCUUGUUGGCUGGAGAGGGGCAAGAGCCAGGCAGUGCAGUACCGGCCCUUCAACAGCAAGACCUGUGACAUCCCAGACAGAGGGAGGACAGACGAUUUGUUCCCUUCAGAUGUCAGGAACUGCAGUGUCAGCAUACCUCACCUAGCUCCUCAGCCUGUAUCUCUAGCCACCCCAACCUGGCUGGAACUGCUGCUUAGUACAUGGACCAGUCACACCUUCACUGAAUGGCAGCAGGAAGCUAAGCAGCCAAGCAGCCCCAUUGAGAGUGUUUUCCCAGGAGAGGGGAUCCAUGAAUCUCCAAGGCCUGCUCCAAAGUAUUUUGAAUACCUAAAACAAAAUAAUCACUGGAGUAAAGGACUGAAACCAUAGACCUGCCCUCGAGGCAUAUAGUUUGACAUCUGCUUUAUAGAGCUGCACUAGGACUUGAGUAAAGAGCUCCAUGCGAAGGGUAAGAGCCUGGCUCAGUGCCAAAGCACUGCUGAGAUAUAAACUCCUGUUGCUAGGCUUUGAGGGCUUUGAGAAGAGCAUUGCAAUGCAUGGUUAGUGGCUGCCAGUGGCACAGGCAUUCAGCUGACUCCUGAAGAUCUGUCAUCAAUUGCACUGUUGCUUCUGGCUGUGAAGGAGCAGACUGAAAGGGCUGAGAGCUGCUGCCCCAAGGUGCCAAAAUCAGGGGUUCCAAGAAGGAAG
Molecule: long non-coding RNA, 1233 nt
Filed under: Phasianus colchicus (ring-necked pheasant)
Lineage: Eukaryota; Metazoa; Chordata; Aves; Galliformes; Phasianidae
Description: lncRNA (ENSPCLG00000010664.1)
Source: RNAcentral